CCUACGGGAGGCAGCAGUGGGGAAUAUUGGACAAUGAGGGGAACCCUGAUCCAGCCAUGCCGCGUGUGUGAAGAAGGCCCUCGGGUUGUAAAGCACUUUCAGUGAGGAAGAACGCCUGGUGGUUAAUACCCAUCAGGAAAGACAUCACUCACAGAAGAAGCACCGGCUAACUCCGUGCCAGCAGCCGCGGUAAUACGGAGGGUGCGAGCGUUAAUCGGAAUUACUGGGCGUAAAGCGCGCGUAGGUGGCUUGAUAAGCCGGUUGUGAAAGCCCCGGGCUCAACCUGGGAACGGCAUCCGGAACUGUCAAGCUAGAGUGCAGGAGAGGAAGGUAGAAUUCCCGGUGUAGCGGUGAAAUGCGUAGAGAUCGGGAGGAAUACCAGUGGCGAAGGCGGCCUUCUGGACUGACACUGACACUGAGGUGCGAAAGCGUGGGUAGCAAACAGGAUUAGAUACCCCAGUAGUC
This 465-nucleotide ribosomal RNA is filed under the name Vreelandella stevensii. Its description in RNAcentral is "partial 16S ribosomal RNA". It matches the Rfam family "Bacterial small subunit ribosomal RNA", at positions 338 to 795 of the family's 1533-position model. The record is from RNAcentral. Lineage: Bacteria; Pseudomonadati; Pseudomonadota; Gammaproteobacteria; Oceanospirillales; Halomonadaceae.